AACGCUGGCGGCGUGCCUAAUACAUGCAAGUCGAACGCACAGCGAAAGGUGCUUGCACCUUUCAAGUGAGUGGCGAACGGGUGAGUAACACGUGGACAACCUGCCUCAAGGCUGGGGAUAACAUUUGGAAACAGAUGCUAAUACCGAAUAAAACUUAGUAUCGCAUGAUACUAAGUUAAAAGGCGCUUCGGCGUCACCUAGAGAUGGAUCCGCGGUGCAUUAGUUAGUUGGUGGGGUAAAGGCCUACCAAGACGAUGAUGCAUAGCCGAGUUGAGAGACUGAUCGGCCACAUUGGGACUGAGACAGUCAACUCUA
This 315-nucleotide ribosomal RNA is filed under the name Leuconostoc mesenteroides. RNAcentral's name for it is "bacterial SSU rRNA". It matches the Rfam family "Bacterial small subunit ribosomal RNA", at positions 32 to 340 of the family's 1533-position model. Lineage: Bacteria; Bacillati; Bacillota; Bacilli; Lactobacillales; Lactobacillaceae. The record is from RNAcentral.